This 253-nucleotide ribosomal RNA is filed under the name uncultured bacterium. RNAcentral describes it as "partial 16S ribosomal RNA". It matches the Rfam family "Bacterial small subunit ribosomal RNA", at positions 524 to 776 of the family's 1533-position model. The record is from RNAcentral.
UACGGAGGGGGUUAGCGUUGUUCGGAAUUACUGGGCGUAAAGCGUGCGCAGGCGGUUUUGUAAGUCUGACGUGAAAUCCCCGGGCUCAACCUGGGAAUUGCGUUGGAGACUGCAAGGCUAGAAUCUGGCAGAGGGGGGUAGAAUUCCACGUGUAGCAGUGAAAUGCGUAGAGAUGUGGAGGAAUACCGAUGGCGAAGGCAGCCCCCUGGGAUAACACUGACGCUCAUGCACGAAAGCGUGGGGAGCAAACAGG